Molecule: microRNA, 23 nt
Filed under: Saccoglossus kowalevskii
Lineage: Eukaryota; Metazoa; Hemichordata; Enteropneusta; Harrimaniidae
Description: sko-miR-4826-3p
Source: miRBase by way of RNAcentral
UCCAACACUUCAAAUCGGAUCGU